RNAcentral lists this ribosomal RNA (926 nucleotides) under uncultured Bacteroidota bacterium. RNAcentral describes it as "bacterial SSU rRNA". It matches the Rfam family "Bacterial small subunit ribosomal RNA", at positions 1 to 917 of the family's 1533-position model. The record is from RNAcentral. Lineage: Bacteria; Pseudomonadati; Bacteroidota.
UGGAUCCAGACUUUGAUCAUGGCUCAGGAUGAACGCUAGCUACAGGCUUAACACAUGCAAGUCGAGGGGAAACGACAUCGAAAGCUUGCUUUUGAUGGGCGUCGACCGGCGCACGGGUGAGUAACGCGUAUCCAACCUGCCCACCACUUGGGGAUAACCUUGCGAAAGUAAGACUAAUACCCAAUGAUAUCCCACGAAGGCAUCCGAAUGGGAUUAAAGAUUUAUCGGUGAUGGAUGGGGAUGCGUCUGAUUAGCUUGUUGGCGGGGUAACGGCCCACCAAGGCUACGAUCAGUAGGGGUUCUGAGAGGAAGGUCCCCCACAUUGGAACUGAGACACGGUCCAAACUCCUACGGGAGGCAGCAGUGAGGAAUAUUGGUCAAUGGGCGAGAGCCUGAACCAGCCAAGUAGCGUGCAGGAUGACGGCCCUAUGGGUUGUAAACUGCUUUUAUAAGGGAAUAAAGUGAGUCUCGUGAGACUUUUUGCAUGUACCUUAUGAAUAAGGACCGGCUAAUUCCGUGCCAGCAGCCGCGGUAAUACGGAAGGUCCGGGCGUUAUCCGGAUUUAUUGGGUUUAAAGGGAGCGUAGGCCGGAGAUUAAGCGUGUUGUGAAAUGUAGUGGCUCAACCUCUGCACUGCAGCGCGAACUGGUCUUCUUGAGUACGCACAACGUGGGCGGAAUUCGUGGUGUAGCGGUGAAAUGCUUAGAUAUCACGAAGAACUCCGAUUGCGAAGGCAGCUCACGGGAGCGCAACUGACGCUGAAGCUCGAAAGUGCGGGUAUCGAACAGGAUUAGAUACCCUGGUAGUCCGCACGGUAAACGAUGGAUGCCCGCUGUUGGCCUGAAUAGGUCAGCGGCCAAGCGAAAGCAUUAAGCAUCCCACCUGGGGAGUACGCCGGCAACGGUGCAACUCAAAUGAAUUGACGGA